CUGCUGCCUCCCGUAGGAGUUUGGGCCGUGUCUCAGUCCCAAUGUGGCCGUUCACCCUCUCAGGCCGGCUACUGAUCGUCGCCUUGGUGGGCCGUUACCCCGCCAACCAGCUAAUCAGACGCGGGUCCAUCUUGCACCACCGGAGUUUUUCACACCGAGCCAUGCGGCUCUGUGCGCUUAUGCGGUAUUAGCACCUAUUUCUAAGUGUUAUCCCCCGGUGCAAGGCAGGUUCCCCACGCGUUACUCACCCGUCCGCCACUAAG
RNAcentral lists this ribosomal RNA (263 nucleotides) under uncultured bacterium. RNAcentral describes it as "partial 16S ribosomal RNA". The record is from RNAcentral.